This 506-nucleotide ribosomal RNA is filed under the name uncultured bacterium. Its description in RNAcentral is "partial 16S ribosomal RNA". It matches the Rfam family "Bacterial small subunit ribosomal RNA", at positions 29 to 523 of the family's 1533-position model. The record is from RNAcentral.
AGUGAACGCUGGCGGUAGGCCUAACACAUGCAAGUCGAACGGCAGCACAGGAGAGCUUGCUCUCUGGGUGGCGAGUGGCGGACGGGUGAGGAAUACAUCGGAAUCUACUCUGUCGUGGGAGAUAACGUAGGGAAACUUACGCUAAUACCGCAUACGACCUACGGGUGAAAGCAGGGGACCUUCGGGCCUUGCGCGAUUGAAUGAGCCGAUGUCGGAUUAGCUAGUUGGCGGGGUAAAGGCCCAACAAGGCGACGAUCCGUAGCUGGUCUGAGAGGAUGAUCAGCCACACUGGAACUGAGACACGGUCCAGACUCCGACGGGAGGCAGCAGGGUGGAAUAUUGGAGAAUGGGCGCAAGCCUGAUCCAGCCAUACCGCGUGGGUGAAGAAGGCCUUCGGGUUGUAAAGCCCUUUUGUUGGGAAAGAAAUCCAGCUGGCUAAUACCCGGUUGGGAUGACGGUACCCAAAGAAUAAGCACCGGCUAACUUCGUGCCAGCCGCCGCGGUAA